This 253-nucleotide ribosomal RNA is filed under the name uncultured bacterium. Its description in RNAcentral is "partial 16S ribosomal RNA". It matches the Rfam family "Bacterial small subunit ribosomal RNA", at positions 524 to 776 of the family's 1533-position model. The record is from RNAcentral.
UACGUAGGCAGCAAGCGUUGUUCGGAGUUACUGGGCGUAAAGGAUGCGUAGGCGGCUUUUUAAGUUUGGUGUGAAAUCUCCCGGCUCAACUGGGAGGGUGCGCCGAAUACUGAAUGACUAGAGUGCGGGAGAGGAUAGUGGAAUUCCUGGUGUAGCGGUGAAAUGCGUAGAUAUCAGGAGGAACACCGGUGGUGUAGACGGCUAUCUGGACCGUAACUGACGCUGAGGCACGAAAGCGUGGGUAGCAAACAGG